RNAcentral lists this ribosomal RNA (464 nucleotides) under uncultured bacterium. RNAcentral describes it as "partial 16S ribosomal RNA". It matches the Rfam family "Bacterial small subunit ribosomal RNA", at positions 339 to 795 of the family's 1533-position model. The record is from RNAcentral.
CUACGGGCCGCUCCAGUGGGGAAUAUUGGACAAUGGGGGAAACCCUGAUCCAGCAAUGCCGCGUGUGUGAAGAAGGCCUGCGGGUUGUAAAGCACUUUCGGUUGGGAGGACUGCUUCUAGCACUAAUAUUGUUGGAAGUUGACGUUACCUUCAGAAGAAGCACCGGCUAACUCCGUGCCAGCAGCCGCGGUAAUACGGAGGUGCAAGCGUUAAUCGGAAUUACUGGGCGUAAAGCGCGCGUAGGCGGCUAGAUCAGUCGGGUGUGAAAGCCCCGGGCUUAACCGGGGAACUGCAUCCGAUACUGUCGAGCUUGAGUACAGGAGAGGAGAGUGGAAUUCCACAUGUAGCGGUGAAAUGCGUAGAUAUGUGGAGGAACACCAAUGGCGAAGGCAGCUCUCUGGCCUGAUACUGACGCUGAGGUGCGAAAGCGUGGGGAGCAAACAGGAUUAGAUACCCCCGUAGUC